GAUGAAGAACGUAGCGAAAUGCGAUAAGUAAUGUGAAUUGCAGAAUUCAGUGAAUCAUCGAAUCUUUGAACGCACAUUGCGCCCGCUAGUAUUCUGGCGGGCAUGCCUGUCCGAGCGUCAUUUCAACCCUCAAGCCCCCGGGCUUGGUGUUGGGGAUCGGCGAGCCUCCGCGCCCGCCGUCCUCUAAAUCUAGUGGCGGUCUCGCUGUAGCUUCCUCUGCGUAGUAGCACACCUCGCACUGGGAAACAGCGCGGCCACGCCGUUAAACCCCCAACUUCUGAACGUUUGACCUCGGAUCAGGUAGGAAUACCCGCUGAACUUAAGCAUAUCAAUAAGCGGAGGA
This 343-nucleotide unclassified non-coding RNA is filed under the name soil metagenome. Its description in RNAcentral is "partial contains 5.8S ribosomal RNA, internal transcribed spacer 2, and large subunit ribosomal RNA". The stretch from base 1 to 120 matches the Rfam family "5.8S ribosomal RNA", at positions 35 to 154 of the family's 154-position model. The record is from RNAcentral.